AGAUUUAUCUGGGUCACAGAUCAAUGUUUUUAGGAGCUGUUCUUAAGUGGCUGUCAUGUCGUCUCCUCCACAGUGUGUCCAGCAGGAUGGAAGCCCGGCAGCGACACAAUCAUUCCAGACCCGUCCGGCAAACUGAAGUAUUUUGACAAACUGAACUGAUGAAUGUUAUUUGUGAAAAACCACCAUCUGCUAAUGGGCCAAAUAAAUGUUUUUAUAAAAAAA
Long non-coding RNA from Cynoglossus semilaevis (tongue sole), 222 nucleotides. RefSeq lists it as uncharacterized. Lineage: Eukaryota; Metazoa; Chordata; Actinopteri; Pleuronectiformes; Cynoglossidae. The record is from RefSeq and is a predicted model, not a curated record. The transcript has 2 exons.